GGUUCGAUUAUGGCUCAGAUUGAACGCUGGCGGGAUGCUUUACACAUGCAAGUCAGACGGCGGCACGGACUUCGGUCUGGUGGCGAGUGGCGAACGGGUGGUGAGACGUGCCUAGUAGCGGGGGAUAACUACGCGAAAGCGUAGCUAGCCUAUACGCCCUUCAGGGGAAAGCGGGGGACCUUCGGGCCUCGCACUAUUAGAGCGGCCGAUAUCGGAUUAGCUAGUUGGUGGGGUAACGGCUCACCAAGGCGACGAUCCGUAGCUGGUUUGAGAGGACGACCAACCACACUGGGACUGAGACACGGCCCAGACUCCUACGAAGGGCAGCAGUGGGGAAUUUUGGACAAUGGGAAACCCUGAUCCAGCCAUCCCGCGUGUGCGAUGAAGGCCUUCGGGUUAAAGCACUUUUUGGCAGGAAAACGCUGGAUAAUACAUGCAACUGACAGUACUGCAGAAUAAACUCCGGCUAACUACAUUGCAACAGCCACGGUAAUACGUAGGGUGCAAGCGUUAAUCGGAAUUACUGGGCGUAAAGCGUGCGCAGGCGGUUCGGAAGAAGAUGUGAAAUCCCAGAGCUUAACUUUGGAACUGCAUUUUUAACUACCGAGCUAGGUGUGUCAGAGGGAGGUGGAAUUCCACUUGUCAUAGCAGUAAAAUGCGUAGAUAUGCCGGAGGAACACCGAUGGUGAAGGCAACCUCCUGGGAUAACACUGACGCUCAUGCACGAAAGCGUGGGGAGCAAACAGGAUUAGAUACCCUGGUAGUCCACGCCCUAAACGAUGUCAACUAGCUUCUUCGGGGCCUUCCGGGCCUUGGUAGCGCAGCUAACGCGUGAAGUUGACCGCCUGGGAAGUACGGUCGCAAGAUUAAAACUCAAGGAAUUGACGGGGACCACAAGCGGUGGAUGAUGUGGAUUAAUUCGAUGCAACGCGAAAAACCUUACCUACCCUUGACAUGUCUGGAAUCCCGAAGAGAUUUAGGUGCUCGCAAGAGAACCGGAACACAGGUGCUGCAUGGCUGUCGUCAGCUCGUGUCGUGAGAUGUUGGGUUAAGUCCCGCAACGAGCGCAACCCUUGUCGUGCUUGCUGAAAAGGGCACUCUAAUGAGACUGCCGGUGACAAACCGGAGGAAGGUGGGGAUGACGUCAGGUCCUCGCCAUGGCCAUAUGGGUAGGGCUUCACACGUCAUAUGCCGAUAGAUCUGGACGAAGGUCGCCAGCCCGCGAAGGGGAGCCAAUCAAACCCGAUCGUAGUCCGGAUGCCAGUCCCAACUCAGACUACGUAGUGGAAUCAACUAAUAAUCGCAGAUCAGCAUGUCGCGGUGAAUACGUUCCCAGGUCUUACCCUUAGGAAGUCGUCCACACCGGGGAGUGGGUUUUACCAGAAGUGAUUAGCCUAUGCAUCUAAGGAGGGGCGGUCACCACCGUGGAUUCACUUGCGUGGGGUGAAGUGUAACAAGGUAGCCCUGUUUUCACCUGGUGCUCCA
RNAcentral lists this ribosomal RNA (1485 nucleotides) under uncultured Bordetella sp. Its description in RNAcentral is "partial 16S-23S ribosomal RNA intergenic spacer". It matches the Rfam family "Bacterial small subunit ribosomal RNA". Lineage: Bacteria; Pseudomonadati; Pseudomonadota; Betaproteobacteria; Burkholderiales; Alcaligenaceae. The record is from RNAcentral.